Molecule: long non-coding RNA, 806 nt
Filed under: Cyanistes caeruleus (blue tit)
Lineage: Eukaryota; Metazoa; Chordata; Aves; Passeriformes; Paridae
Description: lncRNA (ENSCCEG00000010477.1)
Source: RNAcentral
AUGAAGGCCAAAAUUUUGCAACGGGCUAAGAGAAAUGAGAGAAAUUUCCACUGGUCUUUCAAAAAUAUGUGCCAAAGGUCUUGCAGGAACUCUUCUAACCAUGUGUUAUGGAACAUCCUCAUCUUACAAGAGAAAAAAAAUCAAGACAUAAAGCUACUGUGGAACAUACCAGCCUCAGCAGGUACAUCUAUCAGCAGCAUAGAAACUAACAUACUAAAUCUCUUCAUCAUUGAAAUGAGGCUGAAGAUUACACACUUCAAAAUGAGGUUAGAAUCAGACGUCGUCCCCAUUUUCACUCCAGAGACAUCUUGGAACACAAGCAGUUAAAUAAAAUAAGCUUUUCACAGCCUGAUACUGUCAGCUGUGCUAGCCAAGAGUGCUCUCCACACACUCAGGUGGACUACUGCCAGACACCCAAAGAGGAAAACAAGGUAGGAUUUCUCUUCUAUUUUCAUGCAGCUCCAUGAAAUUAGAAAUUUUGAUCUCACUGCUCAGACUUAAUACAAAUACAGUUGGAUACAUAAAAAUUAUGUUUUAGCUGCUGUCCAUCCAGCUCUAAUAGAUAAAGUAUUUUAAAUUAUCAUUACUCAAAUUAAAAAUAUAUAUUUAACCUGAAAGAUAUUCAAAACAAAGGUAAGCAUGCAAAAGAACAGCACUCUUUUCUGUAGGCAUUGGCUGUGACAGAGCACUUUUGAGGCUCAUCAUGCCUGCAAGAACUGGAUAUAUAGAAUUAUCCUUUAUGUGCCUCCCAGAGUUAAAGUCUGGAAAUACUUCUGUUUUGAAUAAAACAGUGUUUGUGAGAAUCA